RNAcentral lists this non-coding RNA (24 nucleotides) under Arabidopsis thaliana (thale cress). Lineage: Eukaryota; Viridiplantae; Streptophyta; Magnoliopsida; Brassicales; Brassicaceae. The record is from RNAcentral.
AGGAGUGAUUUUAACGAGACAAGU